RNAcentral lists this non-coding RNA (46 nucleotides) under Schistosoma curassoni. The record is from RNAcentral. Lineage: Eukaryota; Metazoa; Platyhelminthes; Trematoda; Strigeidida; Schistosomatidae.
ACACUGCUGAGGAGUCCUAUAAUAGGACGAAACAGCCGUUCAGUGC